CUGAAUUGUUCACUGGAAGUUCUAUUUAUAAGUACAGAGGAGCGCACUAUUUAGGAAAAUUGCUGGCCUGGGAGUGGAUUGAGUGUGCGAAUGUCCACGCGAAGCUGGAGUGAGGGCGCGUGAAUGUGCUGUGCAUGUUGAAGUGGCGGGGCUUGUUCCGCGUGAAGGGAAGCGGGCCAUGGGCAAGAGAUGAAGUGCGGUCCACGUGAGAGCAUUGCAUUGGCGGGUCUACUGUGAAUGCUUUGGUCCAUGGUCCAUGCGCUGGGGAAGAGUUGCUGUGGCGGGGCCCACGUGCUUGAAUGCUUUGGUCCAUGCGCUGGGGUUCACGUCCAUGUGAGGAAUUGAUGAAGCUUGGUGAAGCGACCCACGUGAAGAGAAUGGAUGGAGCGCGGGUAUGGGCUGUGUGCGUGGGCGUGCGGAGCGCGGGCCUGUGCGUUGGUGGGCUAUCCAAGCUUGAAUAUUUAAGCUUCAAAAUCCUUUCCUCAUUCUUUGCUCCAAUAAGGCAGUUUUAGGGGGAUUUUCUCCAAAUUGUCAUUUUAUAUUAUUUUUUAUAAAAUAAUAUUAAAAACACUAAAUUAGGCAGAAAUCAUGUAAAUAUUUAUUAAUAAUAUUAAUAUAAAAUGGACUAAAUUAUGCU
RNAcentral lists this long non-coding RNA (637 nucleotides) under Manihot esculenta (cassava). RNAcentral describes it as "long non-coding RNA (MESC_LNC005089)". The record is from RNAcentral. Lineage: Eukaryota; Viridiplantae; Streptophyta; Magnoliopsida; Malpighiales; Euphorbiaceae.